GAUGAACGCUGGCGGCGUGCUUAACACAUGCAAGUCGAACGGAAAGGCUCCUGCUUGCAGGGGUACUCGAGUGGCGAACGGGUGAGUAACACGUGGGUGAUCUGCCCUGCACUUCGGGAUAAGCCUGGGAAACUGGGUCUAAUACCGGAUAGGACCACAUUUUGGAUGGUGUGGUGGAAAGCUUUUCGGCUUGGGAUGAGCUCGCGGCCUAUCAGCUUGUUGGUGGUGUAAUGGCCUACCAAGGCGUCGACGGGUAGCCGGCCUGAGAGGGUGUACGGCCACAUUGGGACUGAGGUACGGCCCAGACGCCUACGGGAGGCAGCAGUGGGGAAUAUUGCACAAUGGGCGCGAGCCGGAUGCAGCGACGCCGGGUGGGGGAUGACGGCCUUCGGGUUGUAAACUCCUUUCGCUAGGGACGAAGCGCAAGUGACGGUACCUGGAGAAGAAGCACCGGCUAACUACGUG
This 465-nucleotide ribosomal RNA is filed under the name uncultured bacterium. RNAcentral describes it as "partial 16S ribosomal RNA". It matches the Rfam family "Bacterial small subunit ribosomal RNA", at positions 28 to 507 of the family's 1533-position model. The record is from RNAcentral.